UAAGCAGUUCAUUUGGUGGCUCCUCAACUCAGAGCGUCCCUUCGGUUCGUAUGGAAGCUAGGUGUGCCAUCCGAUCGGCACUACGAUUUCCUUCCCUCUAGUCGAUCCACCUCCCUGUAUCGCUUCGACAGCCCAUCGAGCAUCUACUUCGACUACUAAGUUUGUCGCUCCCAGGGUUUUCGCAAGACCACCUGCGGUAGCCAUACCCGUGCUU
This is a long non-coding RNA of Hibiscus syriacus, 214 nucleotides long. RefSeq lists it as uncharacterized. The record is from RefSeq and is a predicted model, not a curated record. NCBI's taxonomy places the organism in Eukaryota, Viridiplantae, Streptophyta, Magnoliopsida, Malvales, Malvaceae. The transcript has 3 exons.